Macadamia integrifolia is the source of this 1192-nucleotide long non-coding RNA. RefSeq lists it as uncharacterized. NCBI's taxonomy places the organism in Eukaryota, Viridiplantae, Streptophyta, Magnoliopsida, Proteales, Proteaceae. The transcript is spliced from 2 exons. The record is from RefSeq and is a predicted model, not a curated record.
UCCUAAAGAAACCUCAUUGGCUGGUUUCCUCAAUCGACAUGUUAGUCCCAUUCUUCAGUUUUCACCUUUGCCAAAUAGAAUUCAGCUUUUAAGGACCAACUCAGAUCCCGUUAUCUUGCGUUCUUCCUGGAAACCGGUAGGGUUUUCGUCCCGCAGAAGUAAAGGGUUUUCUGCUCGUGCAGAAAAUGGUGAAGGAGAGCCGAAGAAUGUUAUUGACGAAGCAGAAGCAGCUCGAGGAGAGAGUACUAUGCCUUCUCGCUUCCGUUAUUUGACUAAGGAAGCUCCUGAUCGCCCUGUGAGGUGGCCAUGGCUGAUAGUCUGGGAAUAGCUAUCUUGCCAUGCUAAGCAGCAUGUCCACCAUAUCUGUCAUGUGGCAGUUUCAUUGGCUUCUGGAAAACAGUUGAAGGUGAGCUCUGCCCUUAGUACUGAUCUAUUUUCACUAAUUCUCUGAACGUGCUUUCAACCUGCCCACUGUUGUCUCUUGGUUCCUCUCAGUCUGCACCAUAUCAGAAGUUUGAUUGUUUCACCUUCACACUUAUUGAAGGAUUUUUUUAUUUUUUUUGGCUAUAUAGAUUACUCCUAUAGCUGAUCAACUUUAUUUUUUUCAAAGUUUGAUUAUUGAUUGCUUCUUCUUAACUGUUUUACUGACUUUUAAUAUCCCAUUACUAAUAUAGAUAGAAUCUAUGUUGUGGAUUUGUAGGGUUUGUGUUGGUAUUUAGCAAUAUGCAUAUUGCAGAAUGAGAAACUACUGAAGUUACAGUGUGAUAUACCAUACUGUUGUAGGGUGAUAUUUUGCUUAUAUGCCUUGUUCUUUUUGUAGGUAUAAACACUUGGUUUUUUGCUACUGUUUUGCUUGGUUUUGGGGCUGGGUGAGGAUAUCUGAUGGUGGUAAUAUACACAGAUAUCGGUUUACUACUUUGUCUGGUAAAAACUUGCUUAAGUCCCAGGUUUUAAGCAACUAAUGCUUAAGUCCCAUACUGCUUUGUCUGGUAAAACCUUGCUAAAGUCCCAGGUUUUAAGUAACUAAUUCUUGGAGCCAUAUACUGUUUUGUUUGGUAAAACCUUGCUUAAGUCCCAAGUUUUAAGUAACGUAUGCCACAUGGCUGAUUAUGAGUUUUAUUUACGCUUCUAAUGGUUGUGGCCUUGCACUGCAAUUUUGUAUCUUGAAAACUAACAUUUUUAGAUUGUAGGU